RNAcentral lists this ribosomal RNA (474 nucleotides) under uncultured bacterium. RNAcentral describes it as "partial 16S ribosomal RNA". It matches the Rfam family "Bacterial small subunit ribosomal RNA", at positions 28 to 507 of the family's 1533-position model. The record is from RNAcentral.
GAUGAACGCUAGCGGCAGGCCUAACACAUGCAAGUCGAGGGAGGAGCCUUCGGGCUUCGACCGGCGUACGGGUGCGUAACGCGUAUACAAUCUGCCUUUCACAUAGGGAUAGCCCGAAGAAAUUUGGAUUAAUACCUAAUGGUAUAUAGAUGUGGCAUCACCUUUAUAUUAAAGCUGAGGCGGUGAAAGAUGAGUAUGCGUUCUAUUAGCUAGUUGGAGAGGUAACGGCUCCCCAAGGCGACGAUAGAUAGGGGUUCUGAGAGGGAUAUCCCCCACACUGGUACUGAGAUACGGACCAGACUCCUACGGGAGGCAGCAGUGAGGAAUAUUGGACAAUGGUCGGAAGACUGAUCCAGCCAUGCCGCGUGCAGGAAGACGGCCUUAUGGGUUGUAAACUGCUUUUGCAGGGGAAGAAUAAGGACUACGCGUAGUCUGAUGACGGUACUCUGCGAAUAAGCAUCGGCUAACUCCGUG